Molecule: ribosomal RNA, 460 nt
Filed under: uncultured bacterium
Lineage: Bacteria
Description: partial 16S ribosomal RNA
Rfam family: Bacterial small subunit ribosomal RNA
Source: RNAcentral
CCUACGGGUGGCAGCAGUGAGGAAUAUUGGUCAAUGGGCGCGAGCCUGAACCAGCCAAGUAGCGUGAAGGAUGACUGCCCUACGGGUUGUAAACUUCUUUUAUAAAGGAAUAAAGUGAGGCACGUGGGCCUUUUUGAAUGUACUUUAUGAAUAAGGAUCGGCUAACUCCGUGCCAGCAGCCGCGGUAAGACGGAGGCGCCGAGCGUUAUCCGGAUUUAUUGGGUUUAAAGGGAGCGUAGAUGGGUUGUUAAGUCAGUUGUGAAAGUUUGCGGCUCAACCGUAAAAUUGCAAUGGAUACUGGCAGACUUGAGUGCAGUUGAGGUAGGCGGAAUUCGUGGUGAAGCGGUGAAAUGCUUAGAUAUCACGAAGAAGUCCGAUUGCGAAGGCAGCUUACUAAAAUGCCACUGACAUUGAUGCUCGAAAGUGUGGGUAUCAAACAGGAUUAGAUACCCCGGUAGUC